UUAAUGGUUUCCCUAGAAACCACAACAAAUAUCCUUGACAUAUCAA
This is a non-coding RNA of Chlorocebus sabaeus (green monkey), 46 nucleotides long. Lineage: Eukaryota; Metazoa; Chordata; Mammalia; Primates; Cercopithecidae. The record is from Rfam.